RNAcentral lists this long non-coding RNA (255 nucleotides) under Numida meleagris (helmeted guineafowl). RNAcentral's name for it is "lncRNA (ENSNMEG00000000246.1)". Lineage: Eukaryota; Metazoa; Chordata; Aves; Galliformes; Numididae. The record is from RNAcentral.
GCAUACCUUGCUGCUUCCAUUACCUCAGGAAAACUCAGCUCAGAUUCUGUCUGUGGUUUUCAGCAAGAAUACUGCUUUUCCCUUCUUCCCGCACAAUUUUCCAGCCAGAUUGACUGAACUGCAGAAAGGUCAAAUGACUUACUUGGAGGAACCAGGAAAUUCAUACUGAAUCAUCUGACUGAAUUUGCUGUGCUGUGCCGAGAUGUUGUAGCUCAUGAAGCACACAAUAUAAACACUGGUCAGAGACACUACAGU